Molecule: long non-coding RNA, 3771 nt
Filed under: Homo sapiens (human)
Lineage: Eukaryota; Metazoa; Chordata; Mammalia; Primates; Hominidae
Description: HSALNT0344880
Source: RNAcentral
GGCUAGACUUACCCUGGGAUCUUCUUCAUCGGGCGGGGGAGCCCUUGGCCCAACUGGGGCCCUCCGCUGCUUCUGGAGGGUCUGGGCUCUCACCAGUCUCUUGGCCCAAGAUUUGGGGUCCCGACGUGCCAUCAUCUUCGUCUCCUGGGGGUUUUAUGACCGCCUUUUUCAGGGGUGGACUGUUGGGCCACCUGAAACACACACAAACACACACAUGUCGAUGGUUAAGCACGUUGGAUAUUCACACACCCACAGGAAGCCACCUGCUAACUCCCUGCCUGUGUGGUCAUGAGGAGACCUCACCACCAGUCGGUCAAAUCUGUAGAACACAAUGUGCUGUGCGCAUCCUCGGAUAUUGUGUGUUCCUCUGCCAUGACUACCUAGUCCAAGAGUAAACCCCACCUGCCACAGGGCCCGUGGCCUAGGUAUGGGGGGUUGAGCUUUCAACCCCAAACAAACAACUGAUUCUGGAGACUGGACUUAGGUCUCUCACGAUUCACUCCGGUAGAAGACACGGUGAUUCUAUCUCCCUUGACGGACAGAAUGAUCGAAGACACAGGGCAUGGCGUGUGCCACCCUUUGGCAGGUCUGCUUGAAGUCACGGAUAAGGGAUGCUUCCUGUGACAACUUGAAUCGCUACUCUUGCCAUUUCAUUAGGCAACUUCCAAGCACAAAUUCAUACAGAGAAGUUACCUUCCUCUCUACCGCACUAGCAGGUGAGGAUCUUUCCUGUUCUAUCUUUUAGCUUUAGCUCCAGCCCCUCUUUAUUUAUUUUCCUGGUAUUUUACGCACACCACACGAAUUCAUCUGAACAAACGGGGAAGAAGUGCCGUAUCGUAUCGACGUCUUACACGGCUGAAGGGCAAACCCCCCUUUUUUCCAAAGUCUUUUUUCCAUUUACCCACCAAUUCAGCAUGCUGCAGUACAUUUCUUUUCCCAUUCCCAUCUUGGUCUUCUCCCACACGUGGAGACGGAUAUGUUGUCUCGUUUUCUGUUCCAAGAAUUACUAGUAACGAGAACACAUCCUACCCCACCAGCAAGCCCCAGUGUGAUCGGUUUCUUUCGGCCUCCUUUGUCUCUUCCUCCCCCACACCCCCCGCAAAUACCCCUCAGGGAUUGCGUGAAACAAACAAUUGUUCAGCGAAACUAACCUGAAAUUACACGUCUACUUUCAUUCCCAGGCUGGCGCUGAGAUGGGCAGGUGCUGCAGCAGCCCGGCUGGAAGCGAUGCAGCAUCCAGGACGACGGAGGAAGGGGCAGAGAGGGACCUCCGCUUUCCAGGCUGCCUUUUAUACUGCCUCUGGUCACCUGACAUGGAACGUACCCUAACCUAAUCAGUUACCUGUACCUUAAUUGCAAUUAACUUAAUCCAAUUACAUGACCUGGAAAGGUCUAUCUGCACAGCCCACUCUAAGAUCAUGUCCACUGCUGACAGACAUUCUAAAACCUACUUGUACAGCUGCAAGCUUUGAACAAUAGAUGUUCCCCGUCAGACAUGUAACACUGGUGCCUGUACCCCUGUCUUCUUUUCCAUCUUUUUUGUUGUUUUGUUUUGUUUUGUUUUAAAAAAUGUGGUAAAAUAGACACCUUUUAAUUGGACCACAUUUUGUCUAUCUCGACGUAGGCCUCAGUGUCAUCAAGGAGACUCUCCUUGACAUGCAGUCACGGCCAUGAUCCAUCUUCAGAGCUUCUCUUUCUUCCCCAAGGUAAGUCUGUCAGCAGAGAACCCUGACCGCACCCUCAUGUGUUUUCUCCCCCAGGAGGCGCUUGGAAACAACCGUGAAUUGGACCGCACUGGGAAACACAGAUGAGGAAAGUCAACAACGCUUUGUCCUUCAGUGCCUGGCUCCUUUUUCAGCUCCUCUUGCGACUCCAGGCAUUAUGCCUGAAAAGUCUCCCGGACGCCUGUGAGGCUGUAAUUCCCUGGGUCCCAUUGCCAUGUCUCUGGAUUUGCGAAGAUCCACCGCACCUUCUGUGGAACUCCCGUGUCGGUGAACUUUUGUGCCACGGCCCCUAAUUCUGCCCAUGGUCAUCCGCACCUGCACGACUUAGGGUCCAUGUUCCUUGGACGGGAAGAGACAGGCAGGAGUCGGAAUGAUGAACCAGCACACUGGGGCGUUUUCUCAUGUAGCCCAAGUGACCCCAUGGUCUUCUCGAGCUUUGGAACCAGUCGCGUCCCCUUUGACACUGCACCCGGCUCCCAGUCACUCAAUCUUGUUGGCCCUCCGGCGAUCUCCCGUUGGAUGAAUUGCUCCUGCUGAAACUCGAGUCCCCUUUGAUUUGCGCUUCAUUAAUUAUUCAUGAUUCAGGUUGGAAGGCCUGCUGACGACCCCCUGUGGCCGUUCUCUGAGCUUUCCUGUCACAUCGUUUCCUUCCACGCUCUUUGGUUCCUUACGGUCCUGCUCCUUCUGCUGUCAGAGGAGCAGAGAGUUGAUCUUAUUCAUUCUGGAUACGGAUACUUUCUAGGUGAUCUGGAUAAUCAAGAUAACGACCCUCAACAGCGGCGGAGAGGGAGCAGCCAGUUGGUGUGUCUCAGAAAAUCCCGCUGAGUUCCGAGGCCUCCUAGAUGUGGAAUCCUGCUGAGAGUUGUUCCCAGGUCAGAGAAUGGAGAGAGCCUGUGCAUGAUGGGAUAUCCCCGCCUAGAUCUUUCAGUGAGUCUCUGCCUCAGCUACUCUUAGGAUCAGGGGGAGAACCAUGGUGUCAGACAUCCGGAAAGAAGACGGGAUGAAUGUUUUACCUCUGAAGUACAUCCCAAAUGUGGGAGUUAACUUCAGCUUUGCUGGGGUCUAUUUGGCCAGUGAAACUCUGCCUGGUUCCUUCGCACAUCCGGAAGCCACUUCACGGGGGGCCGUCGCAACUGGAACCACACACUUGGCAUCGGCGGUUGAGCCAAAUGGGGACUCGUGGUGCAAGCAACGCUCCCCACGUGUUAGCGUGCGUGAGAUUCGGUUGGCGGAAUUUUACUAGGUGCGUGUUGGUAGAGUGGGGCUGAGGUUUUCUUGCUCCUGUGGAUGUAUAGGAAGUCAAAGGUCCUGCCCAGCCCUGCGGUCCCCUCAGUCAACUCUGUUUCGGAGACGUAACGAUUUGGAUUGCCAACAAGUCAAGAAAUGUUCAAGCCCUUGGAUGUAGGGUAAAGAAAGAGAGAUCAGACUGUCACUGUGUCUAUGUAGAAGGGGAAGACAUAAGAGACUCCAUUUUGAAAAAGACCUGUAGUUUAAACAAUUGCUUUGCUGAGAUGUUGUUCAUUUGUUGCCUUGCCGCAGCCCCUUCCUUUGACCCAACUUGGAGCUCACAAAAACCUGUGUUGUAUAAAAUCGAGGUUUAAGGGAUCUAGGGCUGUGCAGGACGCGCCUUGUUAACCAAAUGUUUACGAGCAGUAUACUUGGUAGAAGUCAUUGCCAUUCUCUAGUCUCAAUAAACCAGGGGUGCAAUGCACCGUGGAAAGCCACAGGGACCUCUGCCCUUGAAAGCAGGGUAUUGUCCAAGGUUUCUCCCCAUGUGACAGUCUGAAAUAUGGCCUCGUGGGAUGGGAAAGUCCUGAAUGUCCCCUAGCCUGACACCCGCAAUGGGUCUGUGCUGAGGUGGAUUAGUCAAAGAGGAACGCCUCUUGCAGUUCAGAUGGAGGAAGGCCACUGUCUCCUGCUUGCCCCUGGGAACUGAAUGUCUCGGUGUAAAGCCCGAUCGUACAUUUGUUCAACUCUGAGCUCGGCGAAAAGCUGCCCUGUGGCGGGAGGCGAGACAUGCUGGCAGUAAUGCUGCCUUGUUAUUCUU